UCAAUAUCUUUUGGUAAAUAAGCUCAAAGUUGGACAUACUAAACAUGCUAAACUGUUGAAUAGUUUACCUGAAGAAAAGUGGGAGCCACAAACACAAUCUCUGCUGCUUACUGGGAUACAAUUUUUCCUGUUGAUGGCUGAAGCCACCGCCAUCUUCUCUCUCCUGAAAUCGGUAUUCGGUGAAAUUUCAAGCCUGAUCCCUUCUAAAAACGCUUCGUACAACCAACAACUACACACGAUAUUACCAUUGUGGUAAAUACAUGUGCAAUUUCAUUCAUGAAAAGCGAUAACUUUACGUAUUUCUUUCAAACCCGAUAACGUUCUCGUAGCAAGCCGUUAUGUUACUGCCGGUUCUUGCCAACCAGUAGCAGUCUUGUACCACGUGACCAUAGCAAAUGACGACACGCUGGCGUCUCCCAUAGCCAGCUCUUUCCAUGUGUAGCGCCAUCUUGGCUUCUAUGUUGACAAAGAUGCAGCCACCUUAUUGGUGGAGCACGCUCACGUGACGCACUGUGCAACCACUUCCUGGCAAAAUAUUAUUCUGCUCAGAGAAAUAGUCCGUGAUAAAGCUUAUCGCCAUAGCCGCUUUGCCACGAUAUCAACGACAAAAAUAAUUGGUAGCUCUGUAAGGCUACGCUUUGUAUUCAUAUGGAGAUCACAUGAUCAUAACAUGAAAAAAGCUUCACUUUAUGGACAACACAACUUCCGACCAUGCUUCCGACAGAGGAAUCAUGCGCACAUGCAGUUGUUGGUUUGGAAAGUUUGAAGACACGGAGGAAAAAGUUUCGAAGAAGUAAAUUUGACCUCAUUCGGCGGUUAAGAGGCCAAGAGCAACCCAACUCUCCAGAUUUGUUUGAACCACCGGAAACAUCAGUAGAUCUUUCAAAAUCAUGGCAGCCUUCACUCGACAGUUCAUUGACUCAGAUAUCCUGCAAUUCACCAUCCAGUCCAAAAACAAUUUUGACCCCCUCUGCAUUCCUCUACACCGGCAGAGCUCCUAACACCCCAGUAGUAUCCUGGAGGGCCUGUGAUAGACGGCGCAGUCCUGUGAUGACCCGUGCCCAGACCCCACAGGAGACUCCUAGACCUCAGACUGGAUCCCCGCCCGUGCUUCCCAAGCUCAUUCCUCUGUAGGUCAGCGGCCCAAAACUCCAAGGAUUAAAGAGAGUGUUUGCAGUCGGUUUCCAAAUACCACAGAAGAACAAGUCGGAGCAGCUCUCAGUGAUCACCUAAAACAGACGCCAGCUCGAUGUGGUGGGGGGGCUACAGGAAAGACAGAACUUCCCCCUUCUGAAUUUUUUUCUAAAAGCCAGACAAAGUUCAUUAAAAACAAGUGUUUUUUUUAAAACAAACGUUUUAAAUCUAUUUUUUUAUUUUCCUUUUCGCAUUGCGAGGCAAAUUUCAUAAAACCAGUUAAAAGGUUGUUAAAAGUAUUUAUAUUUAUAGUUUUUUACACAUUUUUUCCACUGUUAUGUGUAAUAUUUUGUUCAGUUUAUUUUGAAUUGUUUUAAUUUUUCCAAGUUCAAGGUUUAAAUUUGUUCUAUUUGUGUAACAAUUAAAGAAAAAUUAUGCCAAGUCCAUGAUUGUAAUGGUUGUAUUCUGAAUGAAUGUACUGUAAUUGCAAUUCCAGUCUACUGAUGACAAAUAGAUUAGUGUUAAAUUAUGAAAAAGCAUGACAUUAGAUUAAAAAUGUAUUGUGAAAGGUCCAGAAAGAGAUACAUUGGCGAAAUAGUCGGGACAUCCUUAGAGUACAUCAAGGUAAGAAUUGCAGGUAAUUUCUCAUUUAGGCUUUUUUCUGUGAGAGAGAUUUUUGUCUACAUUACAUUUUUAUUGUGAAUAUUUUUAUAAAUUGCCAAAUUCUAAUUAAUUUAUUCGAAUUUGGGGAAAAUAUGCAUUAAUGAUUGUCAGUGUAUUACAGUAUUGAUAGGAAACCACUGACCUUUUUUUUGGUCUGACAGACGUCCAAUACACGUCUAUUAGACGUGUAGUCCUAAAAUAGGUAUUCCAGAGGUCUAAAAAUGAAAGUUUUUUAGACGUCUAAAUUUAGACUAGACGGCUAAUAGACGUCUAAUAAACGUCUAAGUGUAUACCUGGGUUUAUAUUCAGUAUAAGCAUGAACGUCGGAUAAACGUCUAAAAUUUAGACGUCUAAAAACUUUCACUUUUAGACCUCUGAUAGACCAAUUUUAGACGAGACGUCUAAGGAACGUUAGACGUCUUUUAGACCGAAAAAUGCUCAGUGGGCUAAUAGAAUCUAAAUCUUUCAUCUGCUCUUUCUUCUGGAAUGCUCCCAGUUUAAUCAUCAACAUUUAGAGGUUGAUUGCAUUUCUCUCUAAUCCACUGAAAUAGGAACUGUUUUUCUCCCCAUCUUCCAUCCAUUUACACACGUGGACAAAAUUGUUGGUACCCCUCAGUUAAAGAAGGAAAAACCCACAAUUCUCACUGA
Acanthochromis polyacanthus (spiny chromis) is the source of this 2445-nucleotide long non-coding RNA. RefSeq lists it as uncharacterized. The transcript is spliced from 8 exons. Lineage: Eukaryota; Metazoa; Chordata; Actinopteri; Pomacentridae. The record is from RefSeq and is a predicted model, not a curated record.